This 492-nucleotide ribosomal RNA is filed under the name uncultured Amphibacillus sp. RNAcentral's name for it is "bacterial SSU rRNA". It matches the Rfam family "Bacterial small subunit ribosomal RNA", at positions 1 to 466 of the family's 1533-position model. Lineage: Bacteria; Bacillati; Bacillota; Bacilli; Caryophanales; Bacillaceae. The record is from RNAcentral.
GCCCUUAGAGUUUGAUCAUGGCUCAGGACGAACGCUGGCGGCGUGCCUAAUACAUGCAAGUCGAGCGCGGGAAGCAAGGUGAUCCCUUCGGGGUGAAUCUUGUGGAACGAGCGGCGGACGGGUGAGUAACACGUGGGCAACCUGCCUGUAAGACUGGGAUAACUCGCGGAAACGUGAGCUAAUACCGGAUAAUACUUUUCUUUACCUAAGGAGAAGUUGAAAGGCGGCUUUUCGGAGCUGUCACUUACAGAUGGGCCCGCGGCGCAUUAGCUAGUUGGUAGGGUAAUGGCCUACCAAGGCGACGAUGCGUAGCCGACCUGAGAGGGUGAUCGGCCACACUGGGACUGAGACACGGCCCAGACUCCUACGGGAGGCAGCAGUAGGGAAUCUUCCGCAAUGGACGAAAGUCUGACGGAGCAACGCCGCGUGAACGAUGAAGGUUUUCGGAUCGUAAAGUUCUGUUGUUAGGGAAGAACAAGUACCGUUCAAAUA